UCAAAAUCACGUUUUUCCCAAAUUCAGUUUACUUUAGCCAUGAAAGGAACAUGAACCACAAAGAUACAAGGUAGAAAUGUCUACCACAACAUAAAUACUCAUCAAACAUCAUCCAAGAGCAUGUAAUGGCAACCAAAAUUCAACAAAUCAAUCAUUUCAUACAAAAUCUCAAAAUAUACACAUAAUAGCAUAAAGGCACAAAAUCAAAA
Molecule: long non-coding RNA, 209 nt
Filed under: Jatropha curcas
Lineage: Eukaryota; Viridiplantae; Streptophyta; Magnoliopsida; Malpighiales; Euphorbiaceae
Description: long non-coding RNA (JCUR_LNC001809)
Source: RNAcentral